GUUCUCAUGGUGUAGUUGGUUAUCACAUCAGUCUAACACACUGAAGGUCUCCAGUUCGAACCUGGAUGAGAACA
Daphnia pulex (common water flea) is the source of this 74-nucleotide non-coding RNA. The record is from Rfam. NCBI's taxonomy places the organism in Eukaryota, Metazoa, Arthropoda, Branchiopoda, Diplostraca, Daphniidae.